This 509-nucleotide ribosomal RNA is filed under the name Streptomyces sp. PC1045. RNAcentral's name for it is "bacterial SSU rRNA". It matches the Rfam family "Bacterial small subunit ribosomal RNA", at positions 75 to 595 of the family's 1533-position model. The record is from RNAcentral. Lineage: Bacteria; Bacillati; Actinomycetota; Actinomycetes; Kitasatosporales; Streptomycetaceae.
CCUCUUCGGGGGUGGAUUAGUGGCGAACGGGUGAGUAACACGUGGGCAAUCUGCCCUGUACUUCGGGACAAGCCCUGGAAACGGGGUCUAAUACCGGAUGGGACUGCCGGCCGCAUGGUCUGGUGGUGGAAAGCUUCGGCGGUACAGGAUGAGCCCGCGGCCUAUCAGCUUGUUGGUGGGGUGAUGGCCUACCAAGGCGACGACGGGUAGCCGGCCUGAGAGGGCGACCGGCCACACUGGGACUGAGACACGGCCCAGACUCCUACGGGAGGCAGCAGUGGGGAAUAUUGCACAAUGGGCGGAAGCCUGAUGCAGCGACGCCGCGUGAGGGAUGACGGCCUUCGGGUUGUAAACCUCUUUCAGCAGGGAAGAAGCCUUUAAAGUGACGGUACCUGCAGAAGAAGCACCGGCUAACUACGUGCCAGCAGCCGCGGUAAUACGUAGGGUGCGAGCGUUGUCCGGAAUUAUUGGGCGUAAAGAGCUCGUAGGCGGCUUGUCGCGUCGGAUGU